CGGGACGUGGCGAAGUUUGGUAUCGCGCUUGGUUUGGGACCAAGAUGCCGCAGGUUCGAAUCCUGUCGUCCCGACCA
Molecule: transfer RNA, 77 nt
Filed under: Oscillospiraceae bacterium
Lineage: Bacteria; Bacillati; Bacillota; Clostridia; Eubacteriales; Oscillospiraceae
Description: tRNA-Pro
Rfam family: tRNA
About the family: Transfer RNA (tRNA) molecules are approximately 80 nucleotides in length. Their secondary structure includes four short double-helical elements and three loops (D, anti-codon, and T loops). Further hydrogen bonds mediate the characteristic L-shaped molecular structure. tRNAs have two regions of fundamental functional importance: the anti-codon, which is responsible for specific mRNA codon recognition, and the 3' end, to which the tRNAs corresponding amino acid is attached (by aminoacyl-tRNA synthetases). tRNAs cope with the degeneracy of the genetic code in two manners: having more than one tRNA (with a specific anti-codon) for a particular amino acid; and 'wobble' base-pairing, i.e. permitting non-standard base-pairing at the 3rd anti-codon position.
Source: RNAcentral